Molecule: ribosomal RNA, 467 nt
Filed under: uncultured bacterium
Lineage: Bacteria
Description: partial 16S ribosomal RNA
Rfam family: Bacterial small subunit ribosomal RNA
Source: RNAcentral
ACGAACGCUGGCGGCGUGCUUAACACCUGCAAGUCGAACGGAAAGGCCCUGCUUUUGUGGGGUGCUCGAGUGGCGAACGGGUGAGUAACACGUGAGUAACCUGCCCUUGACUUUGGGAUAACUUCAGGAAACUGGGGCUAAUACCGGAUAGGAGCUCCUGCUGCAUGGUGGGGGUUGGAAAGUUUCGGCGGUUGGGGGUGGACUCGCGGCUUAUCAGCUUGUUGGUGGGGUAGUGGCUUACCAAGGCUUUGACGGGUAGCCGGCCUGAGAGGGUGACCGGCCACAUUGGGACUGAGAUACGGCCCAGACUCCUACGGGAGGCAGCAGUGGGGAAUAUUGCACAAUGGGCGGAAGCCUGAUGCAGCAACGCCGCGUGCGGGAUGACGGCCUUCGGGUUGUAAACCGCUUUCGCCUGUGACGAAGCGUGAGUGACGGUAAUGGGUAAAGAAGCACCGGCUAACUACGUG